CAGUCGACGCUUCUUUUUCACCGGAGCUUGCUCCACCGGAAAAAGAGGAGUGGCGAACGGGUGAGUAACACGUGGGUAACCUGCCCAUCAGAAGGGGAUAACACUUGGAAACAGGUGCUAAUACCGUAUAACAAUCGAAACCGCAUGGUUUUGAUUUGAAAGGCGCUUUCGGGUGUCGCUGAUGGAUGGACCCGCGGUGCAUUAGCUAGUUGGUGAGGUAACGGCUCACCAAGGCCACGAUGCAUAGCCGACCUGAGAGGGUGAUCGGCCACAUUGGGACUGAGACACGGCCCAAACUCCUACGGGAGGCAGCAGUAGGGAAUCUUCGGCAAUGGACGAAAGUCUGACCGAGCAACGCCGCGUGAGUGAAGAAGGUUUUCGGAUCGUAAAACUCUGUUGUUAGAGAAGAACAAGGAUGAGAGUAACUGUUCAUCCCUUGACGGUAUCUAACCAGAAAGCCACGGCUAACUACGUGCCAGCAGCCGCGGUAAUACGUAGGUGGCAAGCGUUGUCCGGAUUUAUUGGGCGUAAAGCGAGCGCAGGCGGUUUCUUAAGUCUGAUGUGAAAGCCCCCGGCUCAACCGGGGAGGGUCAUUGGAAACUGGGAGACUUGAGUGCAGAAGAGGAGAGUGGAAUUCCAUGUGUAGCGGUGAAAUGCGUAGAUAUAUGGAGGAACACCAGUGGCGAAGGCGGCUCUCUGGUCUGUAACUGA
Molecule: ribosomal RNA, 711 nt
Filed under: uncultured bacterium
Lineage: Bacteria
Description: bacterial SSU rRNA
Rfam family: Bacterial small subunit ribosomal RNA
Source: RNAcentral